RNAcentral lists this ribosomal RNA (253 nucleotides) under uncultured bacterium. RNAcentral's name for it is "partial 16S ribosomal RNA". It matches the Rfam family "Bacterial small subunit ribosomal RNA", at positions 524 to 776 of the family's 1533-position model. The record is from RNAcentral.
UACGUAGGGGGCAAGCGUUGUCCGGAAUCAUUGGGCGUAAAGCGCGUGUAGGCGGUUCGGUAAGUCUGCUGUGAAAGUCCAGGGCUCAACCCUGGGAUGCCGGUGGAUACUGUCGGACUAGAGUACGGAAGAGGCGAGUGGAAUUCCCGGUGUAGCGGUGAAAUGCGCAGAUAUCGGGAGGAACACCAAUUGCGAAGGCAGCUCGCUGGGACGUCACUGACGCUGAGACGCGAAAGCGCGGGGAGCAAACAGG